RNAcentral lists this long non-coding RNA (604 nucleotides) under Helianthus annuus (common sunflower). RNAcentral's name for it is "hypothetical non coding rna". The record is from RNAcentral. Lineage: Eukaryota; Viridiplantae; Streptophyta; Magnoliopsida; Asterales; Asteraceae.
CGUACACCCUAGCACGCACUUAACGAGGCGCUCAACACGUAACCAGUGCUAGUACGCAUCCUGUCAUGUGUUACGCGCGUACCGACGCUGGGUUACGUGUCCGAUUUCGCAUUACGCGCAUACCGAUGCUGGGUUACGAGUAUCGCGUUACGCGGGUUCCUACACUAGCUUAAGAGUCCGAUUACGAGUUUCGCUUGUACCGACGCAGGGUUACGCGUCCGAUUAUACGUUUCACGUGUACCGAUGCUUGGGUUACCCAUCCGGUUUAGUGUUACGCGCGUACCGUUGCUGGUUUACGUGUUACGCACGUACGAGCAAUGAUUACGCAUCCAAUUCCGCAUUACGCUCGUACUGUCGUUGGGUUACCUGCUCGAUUACUUGUUACGCACGUACCAGCGCUGAGUUACACCUCCGAUUACGUGUUUCGCUCAUCCUGACACUGGGCCAUGCGUCGGAUUACGCAUUUCGCUCGUGCCGCCGCAGAGUUACGCGUCUGAUUCUACGUUUCGCGAGUAUCAACCGCUCGGGAUAUGCAUUUGAUUCAGUAUUACGCGCGUACCAUUGGUUUACGCGUUACGCACGUACAAGCACUAAUUACACGUCC